CCAAACUUGGUCAUUUAGAGGAAGUAAAAGUCGUAACAAGGUCUCCGUUGGUGAACCAGCGGAGGGAUCAUUACAGAGUUGCAAAACUCCCAUAACCCCUGUGAACAUACCACUGUAGUUGCUUCGGCGGGCAGCCCCUGGGAGGGGCCGCGCCUCCUCGCGAGGUGCCCGCCGGAGGACCACCACAAACUCUUGUCUCGAACGUCUCUGAGAAAACUUUCUAAUAAGUAAAAACUUUCAACAACGGAUCUCUUGGUUCUGGCAUCGAUGAAGAACGCAGC
This 281-nucleotide unclassified non-coding RNA is filed under the name uncultured fungus. RNAcentral describes it as "partial contains small subunit ribosomal RNA, internal transcribed spacer 1, and 5.8S ribosomal RNA". The stretch from base 1 to 73 matches the Rfam family "Eukaryotic small subunit ribosomal RNA", at positions 1759 to 1831 of the family's 1831-position model. The record is from RNAcentral. Lineage: Eukaryota; Fungi.